ACGCAGGCCCCGCCUCCCGUGGGACAGGGCCUGAGGGGACUCGGCGGGAGCUUCCAGGCGAGGGCGAUGCAAAAGGCCAAGAUGUACAGACCUAAGAUGGAUGUAGCCUGUCACACACAGGAGUAAAAUGUCCAUAUUAAAAGACACUGCCUUUCAAAUGGAGUUUAAAAUACCCUGUUGAAAACAAACAAAACAGAAGGAUUAAAAUAAAAGGAAGGGCAAAGUUAUGAUGGAGGAAAUAAUUUCAACCUCAAAUGGCAGUGAUAAGAACAAACAAGAUGAUAUAUAUAUAUAAAGCACAUAGCCUGUUUCUCCGCACUUGUUUCAGCUAAACAGGGGUGAAGGUUUUGGAGAAGGGAAGGAGGCAAGAGAUACUCAGUGCUGUUUUUCCUCUGCGACAGAGGGAGUUUACCAAGAAACAGAAGGUGGAUGCCACACUGCUGGGUGGCAGGUACCAUGAUUCCAUUGCCGGAAGGACUUCAACUGAAGCCCAGACCAAAAGAGGGAAGAACCGUAAAAUCAGCUUAUCAAGUUCAACAGAUCUGUUAGGAUUUGUACUGGGAUUGCAUUGAAUUUAUGGAUUAAUUUGCAAAAUUGACAUCUUUGAAAUAUCUACUCUUUCAUCCAGAACCAUGUAGUUUUCCAUCUAGUCAGGUCUUCUUUUGUGUCUUCAAUAAAAUGUUACCGUUUUCUUCAUGUG
Camelus dromedarius (Arabian camel) is the source of this 700-nucleotide long non-coding RNA. RefSeq lists it as uncharacterized. NCBI's taxonomy places the organism in Eukaryota, Metazoa, Chordata, Mammalia, Artiodactyla, Camelidae. The transcript is spliced from 5 exons. The record is from RefSeq and is a predicted model, not a curated record.